Molecule: long non-coding RNA, 1247 nt
Organism: Eubalaena glacialis (North Atlantic right whale)
Lineage: Eukaryota; Metazoa; Chordata; Mammalia; Artiodactyla; Balaenidae
Exons: 3
Source: RefSeq, a predicted model, not a curated record
CAGACCUUAUCAUUGAUUAUUUAGAUGUGUUUCUUUUCCUUUCCUUAGGCCUUACAACCUGGUGACAUGCCAAGAGAAUGUAAUGGGAUCAGGUGUGAGGAAGAUCCCUAUGUUGAAACCCUAAGCCCCAAUGUGGCUGAAGAUGGAGCCGCUAAAGAAGUCAGCUCAGCCGGGGACCUGGGGAGAGCGGUGCUGCUACUCUGAGCCUGUUCAAGUCACAGCUGUUUACAACCCUAGAAAAUGGAAAGGCUGAAGUACUGUGUCUAAGGAAAAUGCGAAGGCAGACACUUCAUCCAAAGUGCAGCCGAGAGCCUCUCUGGGGGCUUGGAAAGAGGGCUGGGAAGGUUCUGCUUCUGGGUCUCUGUUGGUGGAAAAAAAUCGGGGUUGAGUCCAAUUUUUUCCCCAUAGAUCAAUUCUAUUGUGACACUCUAUCACUUAGAUUAAAAUAAAUACCAUUUGGGACAUUCUAGGGGGAAGAAGCUCCACGGAGGCUAAGGGAAGCACAUUAGCUAGAGAAUCCUACUCAGCCAGAGGCUUCUGUUGUCUUGGGGUCCAGACCAGCCUGUGUGCAGGGGAUUAUGGGUAGAAACCUGCUGUGUUUCUAGAACGUUCUUAGCAUUGAGAGACUGUGUCCUGAGGAAUACUCCCAAGUUAAGCAAGUCCCUUUCUGGCCUCUGCCUCAGUUUCCUAGAGGUACAUUUGCUCCAUUUUCAGGGAGAAUUUCUUACUAAAAUUUUUGCAAAUUAUGUUAUAUCUCUGGAUAAAGUAAUUUGGACUAGAAGUCUGACCAAGAGAAAAAUUAAAUGUCCCACUUCACUGGUUAUUUAAGAAAUGCAAACUGAAACCAUGGGAUGGCAGUCGUACUAGGUAAAUGCAGGGGAGCAAAUUUGCCACGGAAACAUGUAUAUCUUUGGCAUGAGGAUUGUUUUAGGCUGAUUAUCUCGAAGAAGAAGAAGAUUCAGGAAUUCCUUCUUUUACCUCUCCCUUAGCUGCCUAAAGAAUUUAGAUAAAGGGCCUGUUCCCAGAAUAGAGCUACCACCAGAGGUAUCUGCAAAGAAUAUGGGCGGGGUGUGGUGGGAGAGAGAUGGAGUUCACUCUGUGUCCUUUGUCUCUUCAGGGCCUAGCAAACAUUUGUUUAUCAAACAUUUUCUUUUUCAUCUUCAUGUGAAUUGUCUUUCUCCCCUUUGAAGUCCCCAACCACUACCCUCAAUGUCCUCUUUUGUCUUUAGCUGAAGAUGUUAUUUAAG